Molecule: non-coding RNA, 84 nt
Filed under: Phenylobacterium sp.
Lineage: Bacteria; Pseudomonadati; Pseudomonadota; Alphaproteobacteria; Caulobacterales; Caulobacteraceae
Description: ZTP sequence
Rfam family: ZMP/ZTP riboswitch aptamer (pfl RNA motif)
About the family: Previously known as pfl RNA. ZMP is also known as AICAR.
Source: RNAcentral
GCCAUCCCGCGUGACUGGCGAAUGAGGUGGGCGACCACCGGGGAGCGCGGCGACCAUAUCCUGCCGCUCGCCUGGGCAUCUCUC